Molecule: transfer RNA, 65 nt
Filed under: Sinanodonta woodiana
Lineage: Eukaryota; Metazoa; Mollusca; Bivalvia; Unionida; Unionidae
Description: tRNA-His
Source: RNAcentral
AGCAAAGUAGUUUAAGGUAAGAAUAAUAGGUUGUGGGCUUAUUGGAGGAUAGCGUCCCUUUGUUA